UACAGAGGGGGCAAGCGUUGUUCGGAAUUACUGGGCGUAAAGGGCGCGUAGGCGGCCUGCUAAGUCGGACGUGAAAUCCCCGGGCUCAACCCGGGAACUGCGUUCGAGACUGGCGGGCUUGAAUCCGGGAGAGGGAUGCGGAAUUCCAGGUGUAGCGGUGAAAUGCGUAGAUAUCUGGAGGAACACCGGUGGCGAAGGCGGCAUCCUGGACCGGCAUUGACGCUGAGGCGCGAAAGCCAGGGGAGCAAACGGG
This 253-nucleotide ribosomal RNA is filed under the name uncultured bacterium. RNAcentral describes it as "partial 16S ribosomal RNA". It matches the Rfam family "Bacterial small subunit ribosomal RNA", at positions 524 to 776 of the family's 1533-position model. The record is from RNAcentral.